Molecule: long non-coding RNA, 471 nt
Organism: Peromyscus eremicus (cactus mouse)
Lineage: Eukaryota; Metazoa; Chordata; Mammalia; Rodentia; Cricetidae
Exons: 3
Source: RefSeq, a predicted model, not a curated record
UGUACUGGGGCAGAGCUGGCUCUGCCACUGUUGUGAAUACAGAAGCCAUUGGCCCGCUGAAGUCCCAGACCUGCAGUGAAAGCUGACCUGAUGCAGCUAGGAGUUACCAGGACUUAGUGCUUUUCGCGAGGCUGCUGUGUACAUCCAUCAAAACCAAGACUCCACUAUGCAUUGAGUGUGUGGGGGUAGCAACACUAGGGCACAUGGGACAGUGACUCGCAGCAAAUGCCAGGCGGUGCUAUAUCACGGGCUCCUGGAAGAACCUAGAGAUAGAAGAAGCAGGAGAAGACCUGAGUGUCUGAGGCAAGGCCCUCUGGAGAUUGAAGCUUCUGCGUUAAUCUUGGACGAUGGAGGCUACUAAAGGUAUUUUGUAUUUAUUAAGGGCUUACCAAGAAGUAAGCAAUACUCCGAUCCUUUGCCUGUAUCUCUCUUCUUCUUGGUAGCCUUGAUUGACAUCUCACUUUACAAAUG